UACGUAGGGUGCAAGCGUUGUCCGGAAUUAUUGGGCGUAAAGAGCUCGUAGGCGGUCUGUCGCGUCGGCUGUGAAAACUUGGGGCUCAACCCCAAGCCUGCAGUCGAUACGGGCAGACUAGAGUGUGGUAGGGGAGACUGGAAUUCCUGGUGUAGCGGUGAAAUGCGCAGAUAUCUGGAGGAACACCGGUGGCGAAGGCGGCAUCCUGGACCAACACUGACGCUGAGGAGCGAAAGCCAGGGGAGCAAACGGG
This 253-nucleotide ribosomal RNA is filed under the name uncultured bacterium. Its description in RNAcentral is "partial 16S ribosomal RNA". It matches the Rfam family "Bacterial small subunit ribosomal RNA", at positions 524 to 776 of the family's 1533-position model. The record is from RNAcentral.